This 513-nucleotide ribosomal RNA is filed under the name uncultured bacterium. Its description in RNAcentral is "partial 16S ribosomal RNA". It matches the Rfam family "Bacterial small subunit ribosomal RNA", at positions 29 to 523 of the family's 1533-position model. The record is from RNAcentral.
UACGAACGCUGGCGGCAUGCCUAAUACAUGCAAGUCGAGCGAACAGAUGAAGUGCUUGCACUUCUGACGUUAGCGGCGAACGGGUGAGUAACACGUAAGGAAUCUACCUAUAAGCGGGGGAUAACAUUCGGAAACGGGUGCUAAUACCGCAUAAUAUCUUCUUCCGCAUGGAGGAAGAUUGAAAGACGGCUCUGCUGUCACUUAUAGAUGACCUUGCGGUGCAUUAGUUAGUUGGUGGGGUAACGGCCUACCAAGACGAUGAUGCAUAGCCGACCUGAGAGGGUGAUCGGCCACAGUGGGACUGAGACACGGCCCAAACUCCUACGGGAGGCAGCAGUAGGGAAUCUUCCGCAAUGGGCGAAAGCCUGACGGAGCAAUGCCGCGUGAGUGAAGAAGGCCUUCGGGUCGUAAAACUCUGUUAUAAGAGAAGAACAAAUUGUAGAGUAACUGCUACAGUCUUGACGGUAUCUUAUCAGAAAGCCACGGCUAACUACGUGCCAGCCGCCGCAGUAA